This 91-nucleotide transfer RNA is filed under the name Klenkia taihuensis. Its description in RNAcentral is "tRNA-Ala". Lineage: Bacteria; Bacillati; Actinomycetota; Actinomycetes; Geodermatophilales; Geodermatophilaceae. The record is from RNAcentral.
CGACGCCUUCGCCGGCGGCGGCCGCGGCUUCCCCGGUCGCGGCGGCGGCCGUCGCGGUCCCGGCGGCGCGGGUCGCGGCCGCGGCGCCGAC